GCGGGCUUCCCUGGUGGCGCAGUGGUUGAGAGUCCGCCUGCCGAUGCAGGGGACACAGGUUCGUGCCCCAGUCCGGGAAGAUCCCACAUGCCGCGGAGCGGCUGGGUCCGUGAGCCAUGGCCGCUGAGCCUGCGCGUCUGGAGCCUGUGCUCCGCAACGGGAGAGGCCACAACAGUCAGAGGCCCACGUACCGCAAAAAAAGAAGAAUAUCAGGGAAUCUGAGGCGUGAGCUGCGUGGCAGUCAGGAGCAGUAGGAGAUGGUGUGGAGAUGCAGGCCAGCCUUGCUCUCCCAGGUCUCCCUUGCCUGGGGAGUUUAAUUAGACUGCAGUAGGGACCAGGAUUCAUUUCCAUAGACCAAGAUAACCCCUGUCAAGCCACUGGCUUGUUUCUGCAGCAAUCAUGGGGCAGACCCAGUGGUCAUGUCCUCUGUGGGAAGCUAGGGAGACUUGCUCCUUAGGAAUCAGGCCCCACAGCCAUCUCUAGAUGACGAGGAAACGUAAGGGCACUGCCCUUCUGGUGUCCCUACCCCCAUACAGGCUCUCAGGUCAGCCAGGUGGGAAGACCUGGGGAAUGACCCUUUGUUGAUAUAGGCUGCUUCUCUCAUCCCAGCCUGGUCUAUUAGGUCUAGCUGCCUUUGGUCUUGAAAGAACCAGGUGAGAGAACGUGGGAUCCAAAGACAUCACAUCAACCCAUAGUGAGAGGCUCCAAAGUCACCCCUAGGCAUGGAGGAUGAAGCUGGACCAUGCCAAACCGAAAUCAGGCUGAUGGGUUACUGAUGGCUCCAGAAGGAGGGCUCCAUGAGGAGAGGGAGGGAAGAAGGAGCUGGAACUUGGCAGCCCCCGCGACCUGCAGGAGAGGACGCUGAGGCUCAGUGAAGCCCUCGAUCGCUGAGAGUCAUACAACAGAAGGGUUGCCGAGAGAUGACCUCCAAGGUCCCUCCAGCUGUGCCAUUUUGGACUUGCAGUUGUCUCCCUUGUCACUGCUCUCAGGCACGGUCCCCUUCUCUUUCAAGCCGCUGAAGCCAGCACUCAGGAAAGAGGAGCCAGGGAUGGUGAACAGAAUGUACGUUACCAUGAAACAGACACUGUGCCAAUACACCACCUCAGAACACUCACGAUGACCCUGUGAGGAAGGCUCCACCCUCUCCAUCUCACAGAUGAAGAGACGGAUGGCUGCAGAGGUCACCCAGCCACCAGGUGGCAGGAGACAAGUACCUUGGUGUAAGGUAACCACUAACUGAAAUGGGGACACAGGACGUGGAGCAGAUUCGGGAGACUUGUUCAGUUGAACUUGAGUUCUCUGUGGUCUGCCAAGGAAGGGAGCUGUAAAUCCAGGUCUGGUCCUCAGGUGAAGAGCAGAAGAGGCCAGUCAGGUCGAGAAGAGAAAACCAGAACACAGCUGGGGCAAAGACGCAGCUGGGAGGCUGCCCGUGUACCCAGCACCUAAGCACGGGGGAGAGGCCGUGUGUACCAGAGAUCAGGAUUUUUGGAUCCCUUGUGUGAAGAUGAAGAGACAGAACUGGCUUUUUUUUUUUCCCCCUGCCUGUCAGAUGCCCUGAUUCAAGCCCUGGACCCAGGCUGUUAGACAUACUCGUCUUUUUAUCAAGGACCUCAUCAUCUCGUACAUGUUAGGAUGGACCUCUACACCUAGGGCCGGAACAAAAUUUGGCUCAAAAAUAGGUCAGGUGAUAAGACCAGAGAGCAUUUGAAUUGAAAAGAGACCCGUGGUCCUGGUCCUGCAUUUCCUUCCAUCUAAUGGUGCCUAUAAUCGAAAACUCCAUUUUCCUUGAGAAACUGGGAAGUGGAAACUAAGGGAAUGUUCCCAGGAUUGGUAUAUAAUUUGAAGCUCUCAGCAAGGCUGAAAAUACCCAUCGAUAUAUUCUGAAGUGUAAUUUCCACUCCCUUACCAGCCAAAAUAAUUGAAGAGGAAGAAAAAGCUGUUAAUGCAGGAGGCGUGUGACAUCAGAUCCACUUUGCCUGGAAAUUUACCAUUUCAAAGCAAUUGAGGGUUUCUACAGCCAAUGUUUAUAGUCAUACGUGUCCCCUCUCACUGGAGUCACCCUCUGAAGCGAUCAAAAGGCCCAUCAGUCUGGCUUGGACACUGAAAUUGUACACAGUGUCUGGAGCUGAUGUGAAAGCAGAGAGAAUUUUAAAAAUUAUGCUGCCGUUUUGUCAGCACAUAAAUCUUGGGGUGUUUCAUCCUGGUAGGUGGUAGAAACAGUUGGGGCUGCCAGUGCUCAUGGGACCAGUGGUGGCAGGGCUCCGUGGUGGCCUGGCCAGGCACAACUUCUGCUCUCCCUUGGCAUCCCUGUCCCCGUGUCCCUGCACAGACUGUCCUCUUCCUCUAGUCUAGGUUGGCAUUUCUUUCUCUUGCCCAAAGAUGCCUGCCUCUACCUGCAUCCCAGUGACAGUGAGUCCAAGGGCCGCGGGUUCUUCAGCAGAGCGGGGGGUCGUGCCACCUCUCACAGCCUCUGCUGGACUCAGCAGGAGAGACAGACAAUAGACUUUACGGACGUCUGUCUUCUGUCUUCUGCCAGUGCCAGUGUCUGUGUGUGUGUGUGUGUGUGUGUGUGUGUGUGCACGCACAUGCUAUUUUUCAGUUGGAAUUGGACUUCAGGUUUUUCCUGGAAUUACUGAUUUCUUUCCCUAUAUUUGUGUCCAGUGGAGGAAAUUUCUAAAUCCGUGUCCAAGCAUUUGUCUUUCCUUCCAUUUCUGAAUCACAUACCUUUACAAAGGCCACUACCUAAAGACAGAGCAUUUAGUAUGUUCUCGGGCAACUGGGAUGACUAGGAGGUAGGGAACCUGGGUUUUAGUCCUAGGUGUACCAUAGGCUAGCUUGGUGACCCCUUACUUAUGUUUCAGAUAAGAUCUUUGGUACAAAAGAAUUUGGAAGGUCCUUUCUAGUGCUGGUAUUUUAGGAUUCUGUUUACUUAUUUUAAUUUUUUAAACCAUUCCCUGCCCCAGCAAGAAUUAUUGGCAAUAAACUGAGAUACAAUUUUCUUUAUUAUCAUUGGGUCCCCCGGCCCAUAUUACAUACAUACAUAUACACCCAGACAAUUUAAAAUGUUCCACUGCAUGAAGAAUCUGAAAAUUUCCAGAAUACAGCAAACUAAAAAGGAGAAAUUGGAAGAAUGUUCAAGAAAUUGUUACAUCCAGGGACACCUCUGAGGAGGGGAACCCAAGGUGAACGGGAGUGGGAGAUUUCACUGCAUAUAUUCUUUUGUACCUUUUGAAUUUUUUGCCACAUGCAUUUAUUACCUCUUCAAUUAAAAACUUUUUUAAGCAAGAGUUUUCCUUUCUCCUUCGUCGACCACAGGCCCCUCUGCAGCUUAGUUCUUAGCAGGGGAGGAGCCCAUGAUGGGGCUGGCAUCAUUCGCUGGAAGCCACCCCUCAGCCCAAGCCCUCUGGCUGGGUUAGCCAACAUCCCUGCUCCCCUGGCUGCCCUGUGUGCCUGGAGGGGGUCUGUGGGUGCACUCUACUGCUGGCUGCCCUUGCUGGGGAGUGCUACCGCUCCUACUGUUGGUGGCACUCCAGCUGGACUGUCAAGCUGGUACAGGGCCUCUAUUCAAGGUGCUCCAUUAAGGGGCUGGCCUUCAUGGCCCCAGCAGCCAGACAGGCAAAGGACCUAAGAGUUCAGCAUAGGCGGAAGUGCAUCCAGCCUUAAAUCCUCCAGAUCUCGCCAUUCCCUUUCAAAGACAGACUGCCUUUUUUUC
Molecule: long non-coding RNA, 3712 nt
Organism: Orcinus orca (killer whale)
Lineage: Eukaryota; Metazoa; Chordata; Mammalia; Artiodactyla; Delphinidae
Exons: 5
Source: RefSeq, a predicted model, not a curated record